UACUUUCGGUAUUUAUAUUGGAAGUGUCUAGUGGCGAACGGGUGCGUAACACGUGGAUACAUUCCGGGAAGCGGGGGAUAGCCCAGGGAAACUUGGAUUAAUACCGCAUGUGGUCGAAAGACUAAAGGUGGGGACCGCAAGGCCUGCCACUUCCCGAUUGGUCCGCGGCCUAUCAGCUUGUUGGUGAGGUAAAGGCUCACCAAGGCUACGACGGGUAACUGAUCUGAGAGGAUGAUCAGUCACACUGGAACUGAGACACGGUCCAGACACCUACGGGUGGCAGCAGUCGAGAAUCUUUCACAAUGGGGGCAACCCUGAUGGAGCGACGCCGCGUGGAGGAUAAGGUCUUCGGAUUGUAAACUCCUGUCAUGUGAGAGCAAGACUUCCGGGUUAAUACCCCGUAAGUUCGAUAGUAUCACAAGAGGAAGAGACGGCUAACUCUGUGCCAGCAGCCGCGGUAAUACAGAGGUCUCAAGCGUUGUUCGGAAUCACUGGGCGUAAAGGGUGCGUAGGUGGCGUGGUAAGUCAGAUGUGAAAGCCCGGGGCUCAACCUCGGAACUGCAUCCGAUACUGCCAUGCUAGAGAACUGGAGGGGAGUCUAGAAUUCUCGGUGUAGCAGUGAAAUGCGUAGAUAUCGAGAGGAAUACCAAUGGCGAAGGCAGGACUCUGGACAGUUUCUGACACUGAGGCACGAAGGCCAGGGGAGCGAACGGGAUUAGAUACCCCGGUAGUCCUGGCAGUAAACGGUGCACGUUUGGUUUGGGGGGGAUUCGACCCCCUCCGAGCCGGAGCUAACGCGUUAAACGUGCCGCCUGGGAAGUACGAUCGCAAGAUUAAAACUCAAAGAAAUUGACGGGGACCCGCACAAGCGGUUGGAGUAUGUGGCUUAAUUCGAUGCAACGCGAAGAACCUUACCUGGUCUUGACAUGCAUUGUGUCGUCUGUGAAAGCAGACUAGGGUAGCAAUACCCACUUUGCACAGGUGCUGCAUG
This 991-nucleotide ribosomal RNA is filed under the name uncultured marine bacterium. Its description in RNAcentral is "bacterial SSU rRNA". It matches the Rfam family "Bacterial small subunit ribosomal RNA", at positions 68 to 1047 of the family's 1533-position model. The record is from RNAcentral.